UCGGAUAUGGUGUAAUGGCUAACAUUACCGCCUUUCAUCGACAUUGAUUGACAUACACUUGCGCGGUAGCUCGGGGUUCGAUUCCCCGUAUCCGAA
Armillaria novae-zelandiae is the source of this 96-nucleotide non-coding RNA. Lineage: Eukaryota; Fungi; Basidiomycota; Agaricomycetes; Agaricales; Physalacriaceae. The record is from the annotation of a GenBank genome assembly.